This 437-nucleotide ribosomal RNA is filed under the name uncultured bacterium. RNAcentral describes it as "partial 16S ribosomal RNA". It matches the Rfam family "Bacterial small subunit ribosomal RNA", at positions 29 to 507 of the family's 1533-position model. The record is from RNAcentral.
AGCGAACGCUGGCGGCAGGCUUAACACAUGCAAGUCGAGCGGGCAUCCUUGUGGUGUCAGCGGCAGACGGGUGAGUAACGCGUGGGAACGUGCCCUUCGGUUCGGAAUAACUCAGGGAAACUUGAGCUAAUACCGGAUACGUGCGAGAGCAGAAAGGUUUAUCUGCCGAAGGAUCGGCCCGCGUCUGAUUAGCUAGUUGGUGAGGUUACGGCUCACCAAGGCGACGAUCAGUAGCUGGUCUGAGAGGAUGAUCAGCCACACUGGGACUGAGACACGGCCCAGACUCCUACGGGAAGCAGCAGUUGGGAAUAUUGGACAAUGGGGGCAACCCUGAUCCAGCCAUGCCGCGUGAGUGAUGACGGCCUUAGGGUUGUAAAGCUCUUUUCUCCGGGACGAUAAUGACGGUACCGGAGGAAUAAGCCCCGGCUAACUUCGUG